Molecule: ribosomal RNA, 463 nt
Filed under: uncultured bacterium
Lineage: Bacteria
Description: bacterial SSU rRNA
Rfam family: Bacterial small subunit ribosomal RNA
Source: RNAcentral
GCCAGACUCCUACGGGAGGCAGCAGUGGGGAAUAUUGCACAAUGGGGGAAACCCUGAUGCAGCGACGCCGCGUGAGUGAAGAAGUAUUUCGGUAUGUAAAGCUCUAUCAGCAGGGAAGAAAUAGCGACCUUUGGGUCGCCAGACGGUACCUGAUUAAGAAGCCCCGGCUAACUACGUGCCAGCAGCCGCGGUAAUACGUAGGGGGCAAGCGUUAUCCGGAUUUACUGGGUGUAAAGGGAGCGUAGGCGGUAAGGCAAGUCUGAUGUGAAAGGCCAGGGCUCAACCCUGGGACUGCAUUGGAAACUGUUUAACUGGAGUGUCGGAGAGGCAAGUGGAAUUCCUAGUGUAGCGGUGAAAUGCGUAGAUAUUAGGAGGAACACCAGUGGCGAAGGCGGCUUGCUGGACGAUGACUGACGCUGAGGCUCGAAAGCGUGGGGAGCAAACAGGAUUAGAUACCCCUGUA